Benincasa hispida (wax gourd) is the source of this 1732-nucleotide non-coding RNA. The record is from RefSeq and is a predicted model, not a curated record. Lineage: Eukaryota; Viridiplantae; Streptophyta; Magnoliopsida; Cucurbitales; Cucurbitaceae.
AUCUAUUUUGAAUGAUGAGAUUCGAUUUGCCACCAUGUAUGUUAGAAGGAAAUGCCAAGUUGAAAAUGGAAAAGUAGGGCUCACAUUUUGAUAUUCCAAAUUUACGCUUCCCAGAAGUUCCCAAUCAUUACACACCGUUUCAACUCAGCGGUUCACCCUACCCGCCACCGCCACUGCCACUCUCCUCUCUUUCCUUUCUUUUUCUUUGUUCUCUGGUUAGGCAGCCAUUGUUGUGAACUCCGUCACUUCAGUUUACUUCCCCCCCUAAAACCUUCCUACCAACUCUUACCUUUAAAAGAAAUGAUAUCAGUGGUUUCGUGGGUUCCUAAAGGGGCUUGCAAGCCUCUUCCAGUCCUGGAAGUUCCUCCCACCAAUAAAUCUUCCUACCAACUCUCCACCGUUAUUCUGCUUACAGUCUACAUGAUGAACACUCGUGGGCUUUUUAUUGACGAGCUGCUACCAUGUGUGGAGUUAGGUGGAAUUGUUGAGAAGAAGAAGGGAAUUAUUUCUCCUUUUUUUAUGAUCCACUGUUAAUUUUCCCUAUAACAAACAUGAAUAUACUAGCUAGUGCAAGUGCUGGUAAGCAAGUCAAGAUUUGGGACAUAUCUACUGCACAAUGUGAUGUAACUAUGCAGCAUCAAACAGACAAGGUUCAAGCUGUAGCAUGGAUUAUCAUUCGUAACAAUCUUUUGAUUAUUCAGUAUUUUUGGUAAUAAGAGAUAUUUUCUACUGAGGUUUUUGCACUUUCUUGUGGGAUUAUAAUACUCCACCCCUCUCUCUCUCUCUCUCUCAGUUAAUCUUCACAUGAUUUCUCAUCAUAGCUUGAAUUUUCUGGUUUUAUGUUUUUAUGUAAUUAAGAAAGAUGCAAGAAACCCUUCCCAUUCAGGUUAAAAGUGGCUAGUUACAGCAGAUGUGGAGAGCUUGGCAUGGGAUCCACAUACGGAGCACAUGUUUGUGGUGUGUAUUCCUGCUUCUUGCACAGAUCUAGUUUUGAACAUUCUUUUUCCUGGCUUCGCAAUGCGCUCAAUAUUGUUCAGGUGAGCCUAGAGGAUGGCAGAGUGAAAGGUUUUGACAUCUGGAAUGCCACCACAGAGACUAGCUCUGAAUCAAAAGCAAGUUUUACUCUCCAUGCGCAUCAGAAAUCUGUGUCUCUGUUUCUUACAAUCCCUUGGCACCUAAUCUACUUGCAACUGGAUCUACUGACAAAAUGGUUAAAUUAUGGGACUUCAUGAAAUGACCCAGUUUUCUGAUUGUUGUUGAAAAUACAAUCCCUUGGCACCUAAGUCCAAUAAUGAACCUUCAUGUGUGGCAUCCACAAAUCUUAAAGCAGUUAAGUAAUAUGAUUUCCGUGGUUAAAGUUAUGCACAUAGCAUGUCGUGGACUUCUAACAAUCAUUUCUUUAUGUUCUAAUUGUUUCAGGGAGCUGUGUUUUUGGUUUCCUUCUCCGAAUAUUGUCCCUUUUUGCUGGGUAUUGGAGGCUCCAAGGACAAAUUGGAGGCGUAGAAUACACUAUCUGAUGCUGCAGUCUCUCGGAAGUUUGGAAAGUAUAGGCAGCGGAUAUCUUAAAUUGUGAAUUGACUGAGUUAUAACAAAUAUAGUUGAGAAAUUGUGUUUGUGUAGUUAGUUUUGCGAUCUUAUUUUGUGUUUGUAUUUGAUGGUGAAUGCCCACCGUGGCGUCAAAUUCAGAAAUGUUUUUUUGAAAAAUUAAUGCAUCCUUGGAGCUCUUGACCAA